GCAGCCGCCGCGGUAAUACAGAGGGUGCGAGCGUUAAUCGGAUUUACUGGGCGUAAAGCGUGCGUAGGCGGCUAAUUGAGUCGGAUGUGAAAUCCCCGAGCUUAACUUGGGAAUUGCAUUCGAUACUGGUUAGCUAGAGUGUGGGAGAGGAUGGUAGAAUUCCAGGUGUAGCGGUGAAAUGCGUAGAGAUCUGGAGGAAUACCGAUGGCGAAGGCAGCCAUCUGGCCUAACACUGACGCUGAGGUACGAAAGCAUGGGGAGCAAACAGGAUUAGAUACCCGCGUAGUCCCUGUCUCUUAUAC
RNAcentral lists this ribosomal RNA (302 nucleotides) under uncultured bacterium. RNAcentral's name for it is "partial 16S ribosomal RNA". It matches the Rfam family "Bacterial small subunit ribosomal RNA", at positions 508 to 807 of the family's 1533-position model. The record is from RNAcentral.